RNAcentral lists this ribosomal RNA (486 nucleotides) under uncultured bacterium. Its description in RNAcentral is "partial 16S ribosomal RNA". It matches the Rfam family "Bacterial small subunit ribosomal RNA", at positions 899 to 1397 of the family's 1533-position model. The record is from RNAcentral.
ACUCAAAGGAAUAGACGGGGGCCCGCACAAGCAGCGGAGCGUGUGGUUUAAUUCGAUGAUACACGAAGAACCUUACCAGGGCUUGACAUGCGCGUGGUAGUGAAGCGAAAGCCGAACGACCCUUCGGGGAGCGCGCACAGGUGCUGCAUGGCUGUCGUCAGCUCGUGCCGUGAGGUGUUAGGUUAAGUCCUAUAACGAGCGCAGCCCCUAUUGCCAGUUAUACGUGUCUGGCGAGACUGCCGGUCAUAAGCCGGAGGAAGGUGGGGAUGACGUCAAGUCAGCAUGGCCUUUAUGUCCUGGGCUACACACACGCUACAAUGGCCGGUACAAUGGGCUGCCAAGCCGCGAGGCGGAGCCAAUCCCACAAAACCGGCCUCAGUUCGGAUUGUAGGCUGCAACCCGCCUGCAUGAAGCUGGAGUUGCUAGUAAACGCGCGUCAGCUAUAGUGCGUUGAAUACGUUCCCGGGCCUUGUACACACCGCCCGU